This is a long non-coding RNA of Lontra canadensis (Northern American river otter), 429 nucleotides long. RefSeq lists it as uncharacterized. The record is from RefSeq and is a predicted model, not a curated record. The transcript has 2 exons. NCBI's taxonomy places the organism in Eukaryota, Metazoa, Chordata, Mammalia, Carnivora, Mustelidae.
UAUAAGGGUUUAGGAGCAGAAGCUUGGGAAUCAGAUAAAUCUCAGUUGGAAUUUUGCUCUGCAGCAAGCAUCUAUGGUAUACUAGGCAAGCAUGCUACAAGUGUGUGUGAAUGUAUGGAGAGGCAGAGGACACUUGACUGUCUCGUUUCUUCUGCUGGAUCCCCAACUCCUCAGGGACAUUGGCUUCUGGCUGUCUUUCUAUAUGACUUCCCCCCAUGAUGAUGGACAGACUCCUGUGAACUGAAAGCCAUCAGGAGAGAGGUGGAAGAUUUCUUAGUUGAUCUGAGGCUAAUGGGAGAGGGAAACUUACAAAGCAGAGGGUGCCUGAAAUUUCCAGCUAGUGUUAAGCGGCCAUAACAAAGUAUAACCCAUGGCUUCAAUUUGGUCUGUCAAAGAUGAAAUUAAAAGUGAAUUUGAAGUUUCACAACA